GCUGGGUAUGGUGACCCAUACCUGUAAUCUCAGCAGCUCCAGAGGCUGAGGCAGGAGUAUGGCAAAUUCAGAGCCAGCCUCAG
RNAcentral lists this small RNA (83 nucleotides) under Marmota monax (woodchuck). The record is from RNAcentral. Lineage: Eukaryota; Metazoa; Chordata; Mammalia; Rodentia; Sciuridae.